This 907-nucleotide ribosomal RNA is filed under the name uncultured bacterium. RNAcentral's name for it is "bacterial SSU rRNA". It matches the Rfam family "Bacterial small subunit ribosomal RNA", at positions 335 to 1235 of the family's 1533-position model. The record is from RNAcentral.
ACUCCUACGGGAGGCAGCAGUGGGGAAUUUUGGACAAUGGGCGCAAGCCUGAUCCAGCAAUGCCGCGUGAGUGAAGAAGGCCUUCGGGUUGUAAAGCUCUUUCAGUUGAAAAGAAAAAGUCGUGACUAAUAAUCAUGGCUCAUGACGGUAUCAACAGAAGAAGCACCGGCUAACUACGUGCCAGCAGCCGCGGUAAUACGUAGGGUGCAAGCGUUAAUCGGAAUUACUGGGCGUAAAGGGUGCGCAGGCGGUUCUGUAAGUCAGAUGUGAAAUCCCCGGGCUUAACCUGGGAACUGCGUUUGAAACUGCAGAGCUAGAGUGCGGCAGAGGGAGGUGGAAUUCCAUGUGUAGCAGUGAAAUGCGUAGAGAUAUGGAAGAACAUCGAUGGCGAAGGCAACCUCCUGGGCUAGCACUGACGCUCAUGCACGAAAGCGUGGGGAGCAAACAGGAUUAGAUACCCUGGUAGUCCACGCCCUAAACUAUGUCAACUAGUUGUCGGGUCUUAAUAGACUUGGUAACGUAGCUAACGCGUGAAGUUGACCGCCUGGGGAGUACGGUCGCAAGAUUAAAACUCAAAGGAAUUGACGGGGACCCGCACAAGCGGUGGAUUAUGUGGAUUAAUUCGAUGCAACGCGAAAAACCUUACCUACCCUUGACAUGUCAGAAAAUUUUCAGAGAUGAAUUUGUGCCCGAAAGGGAAUCUGAACACAGGUGCUGCAUGGCUGUCGUCAGCUCGUGUCGUGAGAUGUUGGGUUAAGUCCCGCAACGAGCGCAACCCUUGUCAUUAAUUGCCAUCAUUAAGUUGGGCACUUUAAUGAGACUGCCGGUGAUAAACCGGAGGAAGGUGGGGAUGACGUCAAGUCCUCAUGGCCCUUAUGGGUAGGGCUUCACACGUAAUACAAUGGCG